This 69-nucleotide transfer RNA is filed under the name Ictidomys tridecemlineatus (thirteen-lined ground squirrel). RNAcentral describes it as "Spermophilus tridecemlineatus (thirteen-lined ground squirrel) tRNA". It matches the Rfam family "tRNA". From Rfam's summary of the family: Transfer RNA (tRNA) molecules are approximately 80 nucleotides in length. Their secondary structure includes four short double-helical elements and three loops (D, anti-codon, and T loops). The record is from Rfam by way of RNAcentral. Lineage: Eukaryota; Metazoa; Chordata; Mammalia; Rodentia; Sciuridae.
GGGAUUGUGGCUCAGAGGUAGAGCACUCACUUAGCAUGUGUGAGGCCCUGGGUUUGCUCCUCAGCACCA